UGGGGAAUUUUGGACAAUGGGCGAAAGCCUGAUCCAGCAAUGCCGCGUGUGUGAAGAAGGCCUUCGGGUUGUAAAGCACUUUUGUCCGGAAAGAAAUCCUUGGCUCUAAUACAGUCGGGGGAUGACGGUACCGGAAGAAUAAGCACCGGCUAACUACGUGCCAGCAGCCGCGGUAAUACGUAGGGUGCAAGCGUUAAUCGGAAUUACUGGGCGUAAAGCGUGCGCAGGCGGUUUGCUAAGACCGAUGUGAAAUCCCCGGGCUCAACCUGGGAACUGCAUUGGUGACUGGCAGGCUAGAGUAUGGCAGAGGGGGGUAGAAUUCCACGUGUAGCAGUGAAAUGCGUAGAGAUGUGGAGGAAUACCGAUGGCGAAGGCAGCCCCCUGGGCCAAUACUGACGCUCAUGCACGAAAGCGUGGGGAGCAAACAGGAUUAGAUACCCUGGUAGUCCACGCCCUAAACGAUGUCAACUAGUUGUUGGGGAUUCAUUUCCUUAGUAACGUAGCUAACGCGUGAAGUUGACCGCCU
This 526-nucleotide ribosomal RNA is filed under the name uncultured bacterium. RNAcentral describes it as "partial 16S ribosomal RNA". It matches the Rfam family "Bacterial small subunit ribosomal RNA", at positions 355 to 874 of the family's 1533-position model. The record is from RNAcentral.